UGGCUCAAUGGUAGAGCGUUCGACUCAAAUACCAAAGGUCGCGGGUUCGAAUCCCAC
Molecule: transfer RNA, 57 nt
Filed under: Schistocephalus solidus
Lineage: Eukaryota; Metazoa; Platyhelminthes; Cestoda; Diphyllobothriidea; Diphyllobothriidae
Rfam family: tRNA
About the family: Transfer RNA (tRNA) molecules are approximately 80 nucleotides in length. Their secondary structure includes four short double-helical elements and three loops (D, anti-codon, and T loops).
Source: Rfam by way of RNAcentral